GACGAACGCUGGCGGCGUGCUUAACACAUGCAAGUCGAACGGAAAGGCCCUGCUUUUGUGGGGUGCUCGAGUGGCGAACGGGUGAGUAACACGUGAGUAACCUGCCCUUGACUUUGGGAUAACUUCAGGAAACUGGGGCUAAUACCGGAUAGGAGCUCCUGCUGCAUGGUGGGGGUUGGAAAGUUUCGGCGGUUGGGGAGGGACUCGCGGCUUAUCAGCUUGUUGGUGGGGUAGUGGCUUACCAAGGCUUUGACGGGUAGCCGGCCUGAGAGGGUGACCGGCCACAUUGGGACUGAGAUACGGCCCGGACUCCUACGGGAGGCAGCAGUGGGGAAUAUUGCACAAUGGGCGGAAGCCUGAUGCAGCAACGCAGCGUGCGGGAUGACGGCCGUCGGGUUGUAAACCGCUUUCGCCUGUGACGAAGCGUGAGUGACGGUAAUGGGUAAAGAAGCACCGGCUAACUACGUG
RNAcentral lists this ribosomal RNA (468 nucleotides) under uncultured bacterium. Its description in RNAcentral is "partial 16S ribosomal RNA". It matches the Rfam family "Bacterial small subunit ribosomal RNA", at positions 28 to 507 of the family's 1533-position model. The record is from RNAcentral.